GGAGGGAUGGCAGAGUGGCUAAAUGCGCCGGUCUUGAAAACCGGAGGGGCGAAACGCCCUCGUGGGUUCGAAUCCCACUCCCUCCG
RNAcentral lists this transfer RNA (86 nucleotides) under Candidatus Xiphinematobacter sp. Its description in RNAcentral is "tRNA-Ser". It matches the Rfam family "tRNA". From Rfam's summary of the family: Transfer RNA (tRNA) molecules are approximately 80 nucleotides in length. Lineage: Bacteria; Pseudomonadati; Verrucomicrobiota; Spartobacteria. The record is from RNAcentral.